GACGAACGCUGGCGGCGUGCUUAACACAUGCAAGUCGAGCGGAAAGGCCCUUUCGGGGGGACUCGAGCGGCGAACGGGUGAGUAACACGUGAGUAAUCUGCCCCUGGCUUUGGGAUAGCCACCGGAAACGGGGCUUAAUACCGGAUACGAACACUUCACGCAUGGGAGGGUGGUGGAAAGUUUUUCGGCCAGGGAGGUGCGGGCGGCCUAGCAGCUUGAUGGUGAGGUAAUGGCUCACCAUGGUUUCGACGGGUAGCCGGCCUGAGAGGGGGACCGGGCACACUGGGACUGAGACACGGCCCAGUCUCCUACGGGAGGCAGCAGUGGGGAAUAUUGGACAAUGGGCGGAAGCCUGAUCCAGCAACGCCGCGUGAGGGAUGACGGCCUUCGGGUUGUAAACCUCUUUUAGCAGGGAAGAAGCGAAAGUGACGGUACCUGCAGAAAAAGCACCGGCUAACUACGUGCCAGCAGCCGCGGUAA
Molecule: ribosomal RNA, 480 nt
Filed under: uncultured bacterium
Lineage: Bacteria
Description: partial 16S ribosomal RNA
Rfam family: Bacterial small subunit ribosomal RNA
Source: RNAcentral